Molecule: ribosomal RNA, 1381 nt
Filed under: Acinetobacter sp. B135
Lineage: Bacteria; Pseudomonadati; Pseudomonadota; Gammaproteobacteria; Moraxellales; Moraxellaceae
Description: partial 16S ribosomal RNA
Rfam family: Bacterial small subunit ribosomal RNA
Source: RNAcentral
CAAAAAAGCAAUCUUGGGUUCAUAAAUUGGCCAGGGGAAGAGUAAAUAAUGGUUAAGAACUCCCCCACUAGGGGAGGACCUAGUUAAAGGGACUGGUAAUUCUAAUACUUCCUACGGGAUAGAGCGGGGAUUUCCGCCCUUGCGCUUAUUAUGACCCUAAAUUCUAUUAUCUUGUUGGGGGGGGAAAAGGCCCCCCCAAGGCAAAAAUCUGUUACCGGGUCUGAAAGGGAUGACCCCCCCCCCCGGGGAAUUGAAAACCCGGCCCCAAAACCCCCACGGGGGGGAGGGGGGGGGAAAAUUUGGGAAAAGGGGCACAAGCCUUAUCCCCCCCUGCCGCGGGGGAAAAAAAGGCCUUAUGGUUGAAACGCCCUUUUAGCGAGGAAGAGGCUACUUUAAUUAACACCUAAAGAAAGUGGACGUUACUCCCAGAAUAACCCCGGCUAACUCUGGGCCCGCAGGCGCGGUACUACAAAAGGGGCAGCUUAACCGGAUUUACUGGGCGUAAAGCGCGCGGAAGCGGCUAAUUAAUUCAAAUGUGAAAUCCCCGAACUUUAACUUGAAAUUGCAUUCCAUACUGGUAACUAGAGUGGGGGAAAGGAUGGAAGGAAUUCCAGGUGAGCGAUGAAAAUGCGUAGAGAUCUGAGGAAUUACGGAUGGGAAGGCGCCAUCUGGCCUAACGUGACGAUAGGUGGGAAAGCAUGCGGGAGCAAACACGAUUAAAUCCCUGGUAGUCCAUGCCGUAAACGAUGUUUACUAGCCGUUGGGGCCUUGAGGCUUUAGUGGCGCAGCUAACGCGAUAAGUAGGCCGCUUGGGGAGUACGGUUGCAAGACUAAAAAUCAAAUGAAUUGCCGGGGGCCCGCCCAAGCGGUGGAGCAUUUGGUUUAAUUCGAUGCAACGCGAAGAACGGUUCCUGGCCUUGCCAUAGUAAGCACUUUCCGGAGAUGGAUUGGUGCCUUCGGGAAGUUACAUCCAGGGUGUUGCAUGGCUGUCGUCAGCUCGUGUUCGUGAGAAGUUGGGGUUAAGUCCCCCCAACGAGCGCAACCCUUUUCCUUAUUCCCCAGGGGGUAAAGGUGGGGGCACUUUAAGGGAUACCGCCAGUGACAAGGGGGAGGAAGGCGGGGGACGACAUCAAGUCAUUCAUGGCCCUUUCGGGGCAGGGCCUACCCCCCUUCAACCAAUGGUCGGUACAAAAGGGUUGCUCCCGAGGGAUAGGAUGUUAAUAUAAAAAAGCCGAUGUUAGUCCGGAUUUGAGUAUCUAACUCCCUCCAUUAGUCUGAAUCGUUAUUAAUGGUCGAUCAGAAUGCGGCGAAGAAUUGUUGCCCGCUUUAACCCACCCCCGUCUCACCAAGGAGUUUCUCCACCAGAAGGAGCCCCCCCCCG